Molecule: ribosomal RNA, 450 nt
Filed under: uncultured bacterium
Lineage: Bacteria
Description: partial 16S ribosomal RNA
Rfam family: Bacterial small subunit ribosomal RNA
Source: RNAcentral
CCUACGGGCGGCAGCAGUAAGGAAUAUUGGACAAUGGUCGAAAGACUGAUCCAGCCAUGCCGCGUGAAGGAUGAAGGCCCUAUGGGUUGUAAACUUCUUUUGUACGGGAACAAACCCUCGCUCGUGAGCGAGGCUGAUUGUACUGUAAGAAUAAGGAUCGGCUAACUCCGUGCCAGCAGCCGCGGUAAUACGGAGGAUCCAAGCGUUAUCCGGAUUCAUUGGGGCGUAAGGGUAAGUAGGCGGCAGUGUAGAAAUCUCUCGGCUUAACCGAGAAACUGCCAUUGAUACUGCAAAUCUUGAGUACAUUUGAUGUGGGCGGAAUGUGUCAUGUAGCGGUGAAAUGCUUAGAUAUGACACAGAACACCGAUUGCGAAGGCAGCUCACAAAACUGUAACUGACGCUGAGGCACGAAAGCGUGGGUAUCAAACAGGAUUAGAUACCCCAGUAGUC